ACGAACGCUGGCGGCGUGCUUAACACAUGCAAGUCGAACGGAAAGGCCCUUCGGGGUACUCGAGUGGCGAACGGGUGAGUAACACGUGGGUGAUCUGCCCUGCACUUCGGGAUAAGCCUGGGAAACUGGGUCUAAUACCGGAUAUGACCUUGGGAUGCAUGUCCUUUGGUGGAAAGCUUUUGCGGUGUGGGAUGGGCCCGCGGCCUAUCAGCUUGUUGGUGGGGUUAAGGCCUACCAAGGCGACGACGGGUAGCCG
Molecule: ribosomal RNA, 256 nt
Filed under: Mycobacterium sp. ISO525_OTU2708
Lineage: Bacteria; Bacillati; Actinomycetota; Actinomycetes; Mycobacteriales; Mycobacteriaceae
Description: partial 16S ribosomal RNA
Rfam family: Bacterial small subunit ribosomal RNA
Source: RNAcentral